This 253-nucleotide ribosomal RNA is filed under the name uncultured bacterium. Its description in RNAcentral is "partial 16S ribosomal RNA". It matches the Rfam family "Bacterial small subunit ribosomal RNA", at positions 524 to 776 of the family's 1533-position model. The record is from RNAcentral.
UACGAAGGGUGCGAGCGUUAUUCGGAAUAACUGGGCGUAAAGCGCGUGGAGGCGGUUUCUUAAGUCGUUUGUUAAAUUGCCCGGCUUAACCGGGCACUUGCGGAUGAUACUGAGAGGCUAGAGUACAAGAGAGAAGGGUAGAAUUCUCGGAGUAGCGGUAAAAUGCGUAGAUCUCGAGAGGAAUACCGGUUGCGAAGGCGGCCCUUUGGCUUGUUACUGACGCUUGAGCGCGAAAGCGUGGGGAGCAAACAGG